This 362-nucleotide ribosomal RNA is filed under the name Cinara dubia. RNAcentral describes it as "partial 12S small subunit ribosomal RNA". Lineage: Eukaryota; Metazoa; Arthropoda; Insecta; Hemiptera; Aphididae. The record is from RNAcentral.
UAUUUUAGUCUUAUUAGAGGAACCUGUUUUAUAAUUGAUAAUCCACGAUUUAUUUUACUUAUUUUUUAAUUUAUAUAUCGCUGUCAUGAAUAUAUUUAAAAAUUNAUUUUCUAUUAUUAAUUUUAUAAUUUAUGUUAAGUCAAGAUGUAGUUUAUAGAUAAGUUUUAAAUGGGUUACAUUAAAUUAAAUUUAUGGAUUUUAAAUGUAAAUUAAAAUGAAAUUGGAUUUAAUAGUAAAUUUAUUUAUUUAUUUAAUAUGAAUAAAGAUCUAAAAUAUGUACAUAUUGCCCGUCAUUCUUAUUAAAAAUAAGACAAGUCGUAACAAAGUAAAUGUACUGGAAAGUGUAUUUAGAAAGAUUAAAA